AGUGAACGCUGGCGGUAGGCCUAACACAUGCAAGUCGAACGGCAGCACAGUAAGAGCUUGCUCUUACGGGUGGCGAGUGGCGGACGGGUGAGGAAUACAUCGGAAUCUACUUUUUCGUGGGGGAUAACGUAGGGAAACUUACGCUACUACCGCAUACGACCUACGGGUGAAAGCAGGGGAUCUUCGGACCUUGCGCGAUUGAAUGAGCCGAUGUCGGAUUAGCUAGUUGGCUGGGUAAAGGCCCACCAAGGCGACGAUCCGUAGCUGGUCUGAGAGGAUGAUCAGCCACACUGGAACUGAGACACGGUCCAGACUCCUACGGGAGGCAGCAGUGGGGAAUAUUGGACAAUGGGCGCAAGCCUGAUCCAGCUAUACCGCGUGAGUGAAGAAGGCCUUCGGGUUGUAAAGCCCUUUUGUUGGGAAAGAAAAGCAGCAGGUUAAUACCCCGCUGUUCUGACGGUACCCAAAGAAUAAGCACCGGCUAACUUCGUG
This 492-nucleotide ribosomal RNA is filed under the name uncultured bacterium. RNAcentral describes it as "partial 16S ribosomal RNA". It matches the Rfam family "Bacterial small subunit ribosomal RNA", at positions 29 to 507 of the family's 1533-position model. The record is from RNAcentral.